GAUGAAGAACGCAGCGAAAUGCGAUAAGUAAUGUGAAUUGCAGAAUUCAGUGAAUCAUCGAAUCUUUGAACGCACAUUGCGCCCCUUGGUAUUCCGAGGGGCAUGCCUGUUCGAGCGUCAUAUUAACCAUUCCCGCUUGCGGGGUCUUGGGCUUCGCCUCCGGGCGGGCCUUAAAAUCAGUGGCGGUGCCGUCGGGCUCUACGCGUAGUAAAUUUUCUCGCGAUAGGGUCCCGGUGGAUGCUUGCCAACAACCCCCAACUUCUUAAGGUUGACCUCGGAUCAGGUAGGGAUACCCGCUGAACUUAAGCAUAUCAAUAAGCGGAGGA
This 326-nucleotide unclassified non-coding RNA is filed under the name soil metagenome. RNAcentral's name for it is "partial contains 5.8S ribosomal RNA, internal transcribed spacer 2, and large subunit ribosomal RNA". The stretch from base 1 to 120 matches the Rfam family "5.8S ribosomal RNA", at positions 35 to 154 of the family's 154-position model. The record is from RNAcentral.